Molecule: ribosomal RNA, 468 nt
Filed under: uncultured bacterium
Lineage: Bacteria
Description: partial 16S ribosomal RNA
Rfam family: Bacterial small subunit ribosomal RNA
Source: RNAcentral
GACGAACGCUGGCGGCGUGCUUAACACAUGCAAGUCGAACGGUAAGGCUUUGCUUUUGUGGGAUUCUCGAGUGGCGAACGGGUGUGUAUCACGUGAGUAACCUGCCCUUUACUUUGGGAUAACUUCAUGAAACUCGGGCUAAUAUCGGAUAUGAUCUCCUUCUGCAUGGUUUGUGUUUUAAAGUUUCGGCGGUUGGGGACGCACUCGCGGCUUAUCAGCUUGUUGGUGGGUUAGUGGCUUACCAAGGCACGGACGGGUAGCCAGACUGAGAGGGUGACCGGCCACAAUGGGACUGAGAAACGGCCAAGACGGAUACGGGAGGAAGGAGUGAAGGAUAGUGCAAAAUGGGCGGAAGGAGGAAGGAGGAACGCCGCAUGGGAGAUGACGGCCGGCGGGUUGGAAAGCGCGUUAGACUGUGAAGAAGAGUAAGUGACGGUAAUGGGUAAAGAAGCAACGGCUAACUACGUG